This is a small nuclear RNA of Myotis myotis, 104 nucleotides long. NCBI's taxonomy places the organism in Eukaryota, Metazoa, Chordata, Mammalia, Chiroptera, Vespertilionidae. The record is from RefSeq and is a predicted model, not a curated record.
GUGCUUGCUUCAGCACAUAUACUAAAAUUGGAAUGAUACAGAGAAGAUUAGCAUGGCCCCUGUGCAAGGAUGACACCCAAAUUCGCGAAGCGCUAAAAAAUAUA